This 447-nucleotide ribosomal RNA is filed under the name uncultured bacterium. Its description in RNAcentral is "bacterial SSU rRNA". It matches the Rfam family "Bacterial small subunit ribosomal RNA", at positions 355 to 825 of the family's 1533-position model. The record is from RNAcentral.
UGGGGAAUCUUGGACAAUGGGGGCAACCCUGAUCCAGCCAUGCCGCGUGAGUGAUGAAGGCCUUAGGGUUGUAAAGCUCUUUUACCAGGGAUGAUAAUGACAGUACCUGGAGAAUAAGCUCCGGCUAACUCCGUGCCAGCAGCCGCGGUAAUACGGAGGGAGCUAGCGUUGUUCGGAAUUACUGGGCGUAAAGCGUACGUAGGCGGUUAUUCAAGUCAGAGGUGAAAGCCUGGAGCUCAACUCCAGAACUGCCUUUGAAACUAGAUAGCUAGAAUCACGGAGAGGUGAGUGGAAUUCCGAGUGUAGAGGUGAAAUUCGUAGAUAUUCGGAAGAACACCAGUGGCGAAGGCGGCUCACUGGACGUGUAUUGACGCUGAGGUACGAAAGCGUGGGGAGCAAACAGGAUUAGAUACCCCCGUAGUCCCUGAGCGGGCUGGCAAGGCGCAU